This 1435-nucleotide ribosomal RNA is filed under the name uncultured bacterium. RNAcentral's name for it is "16S ribosomal RNA". It matches the Rfam family "Bacterial small subunit ribosomal RNA". The record is from RNAcentral.
AGAGUUUGAUCCUGGCUCAGAACGUACGCUGGCGGCACGCCUAACACAUGCAAGUCGAACGCAGUAGCAAUACUGAGUGGCAAACGGGUGAGUAUAAUGUGGGAAUCUGCCUUUUGGUUUGGAAUAACACGGGGAAACUUGUGCUAAUACCGAAUAAGCCCUUACGGGGAAAGUUUUAAUGCCGAAAGAUGAGCCCGCACUUGAUUAGCUAGUUGGUAAGGUAAAAGCUUACCAAGGCAACGAUCAAUAGCUGUUCUUAGAGGAAGACCAGCCACAUUGGGACUGAGACACGGCCCAGACUCCUACGGGAGGCAGCAGUGGGGAAUCUUGCACAAUGGAGGAAACUCUGAUGCAGCGAUGCCGCGUGAGUGAAGAAGGCCCUUGGGUUGUAAAGCUCUUUCGUCGGGGAAGAAAAUGACUGUACCCGAAUAAGAAGGUCCGGCUAACUUCGUGCCAGCAGCCGCGGUAAUACGAAGGGACCUAGCGUAGUUCGGAAUUACUGGGCUUAAAGAGUUCGUAGGUGGUUGAAAAAGUUGGUGGUGAAAUCCCAGAGCUUAACUCUGGAACUGCCAUCAAAACUUUUCAGCUAGAGUAUGAUAGAGGAAAGCAGAAUUUCUAGUGUAGAGGUGAAAUUCGUAGAUAUUAGAAAGAAUACCAAUUGCGAAGGCAGCUUUCUGGAUCAUUACUGACACUGAGGAACGAAAGCAUGGGUAGCGAAGAGGAUUAGAUACCCUCGUAGUCCAUGCCGUAAACGAUGUGUGUUAGACGUUGGAAAUUUAUUUUCAGUGUCGCAGCGAAAGCGAUAAACACACCGCCUGGGGAGUACGACCGCAAGGUUAAAACUCAAAUGAAUUGACGGGGACCCGCACAAGUAGUGGAGCAUGUGGUUUAAUUCGAAGAUACGCGCAGAACCUUACCAACACUUGACAUGUUCGUCGCGACUCUAAGAGAUUAGAGUUUUCGGUUCGGCCGGACGAAACACAGGUGCUGCAUGGCUGUCGUCAGCUCGUGUCGUGAGAUGUUGGGUUAAGUCCCGCAACGAGCGCAACCCUCACUUUUAGUUGCCAUCAUUAAGUUGGGCACUCUGAAAGAACUGCCAGUGAUAAGCUGGAGGAAGGUGGGGAUGACGUCAAGUCCUCAUGGCCCUUACGUGUUGGGCUACACACGUGCUACAAUGGUAUCUACAACAGGAAGCAAGACGGCGACGUUUAGCAAAUCCCUAAAAGAUACCUCAGUUCGGAUUGCACUCUGCAACUCGAGUGCAUGAAGCUGGAAUUACUAGUAAUCGUGGAUCAGCGUGCCACGGUGAAUGCGUUCCCGGGUCUUGUACACACCGCCCGUCACACCAUGGGAGUUGGUUCUACCUUAAGGCAAGGUUUAAUACCCUUGACCACGGUAUAGUCAGCGACUGGGGUGAAGUCGUAACAAGGUAACC